AAAAAGGGGAUCAACUCCCUCCUGGUUCUGUCUUCACCAAGUUGACAUGCAAUAGAAGAUAACCUCCUAACAGAAUUCAACCUCAAUUGAAUAUCAUCAUUCUUCAGCUCAUCUAAUAUCAUUGGGUACAACAGCAAAUGCGCCAUUGACAGGUAUAUUGUGUUUCCCUUACAGCGGAAAUGUGUGUCGCCGGCUGCCGGAGACGUAAAG
Molecule: unclassified non-coding RNA, 210 nt
Filed under: Hevea brasiliensis (rubber tree)
Lineage: Eukaryota; Viridiplantae; Streptophyta; Magnoliopsida; Malpighiales; Euphorbiaceae
Source: RNAcentral